CAGGAGGAUCACUGUGAGUCCAAGGCCAGCCUGAACUACAUAGCGAGACCUUGUCUCAAAAAACAAACAAACCCAAACAUACCGGAGUGGAAAACUAUUGUUUUAAAGAAAAGCAUCGAGUAGAUAACAUAGAUGGAACAGGGAGGAGGCGUGAAUUGUUGGGCUGCUGCUUGAUGCCAGAGCUGGCAAAUGUCAGGCCGCAGUCUCCACCUGUUGGAGGUUAGCAGUCCAGAGGCAGGUGUGGCUCCGGGCGAGCGCUUACCCGGCCUGCACCAGGCCCAGCUUCCCUCCCCGUGGCUACAGAAACCAGCAAGCAAGUUCCUCAGGCUCCAAUACUCCAGGUGCACAAAGAGCUCGGAGAGGAUCUGGCGGCCAGGGAAAGCUGUGUGUGAGCUGGGACAGGGCCUCGGCCUGCAAGACAAACAACGCAAGGAAGACAGGAGACGGAGCCCUGCCAUGAGAACGGCAUGAAGGCCCAGUAACCAAGCUGUAUCUCUGGGCUGCUGGGUUUGCCUGGUGGAAGCAAAGAAUAGGACUGAAAAUAAGAAACUUGGAAAUCUGAGAAGUCCAAGGAGAGGAUGUUAGACUCCAUGUGGACUCUCAGGACAUAGGGAGCCACAGAAAGUGUUUGGGCGGCGAGUAACAGGCUGCAAGGACUCAGGUCGUGAGCAGCGGCGCUUGCUCUGGAUGAAAACUGUCCGUGUCCGGCCUUGCCCGCUGAUUGCUCUUUCAUCUCUCAAAUGGCUCUCCCAGGUCCUGGUGCACCACUCUGCCCCACGGCUUUGGCUGUGCAUAGACAUUCUCUUCGCCCACAGCAGUGCAGCGUUGGAGCAGACCGUCUGCCGCCAAUAGCUACAGAGACCCUGGGAGCUGGCCACAGCCCAAGGCGUCUGUCCAGCUCCUGGUCCUCCUCUUGGGGAUCUCAGUGCCGGAAGGAAGCAGGAAGCCCCUCAGGAUGCAGGCGAUGGUCUCUCCUCUUGCACCCCAACCACUGGCAAAGACCCAAUGCUGCCCCUCGUGUGAAGGGCAGACGCACCCCAGAGCCGCCCAGCUCCAGCUAGCCUUGGUGCUUUGGAGGCGGCUCCCCAGGCCCUGGCACCUUCCACAGCUCUUGCAUUCUGCGUGCCCCCCAGGCCUCCUCCCCAGAAGCUGACCUUGAAUUGGACUCCCA
RNAcentral lists this long non-coding RNA (1171 nucleotides) under Fukomys damarensis (Damara mole-rat). Its description in RNAcentral is "lncRNA (ENSFDAG00000026644.1)". The record is from RNAcentral. Lineage: Eukaryota; Metazoa; Chordata; Mammalia; Rodentia; Bathyergidae.